CGGUGUGUGUGCGUGCGUGUGUGUGGGAGCAUGAUUCGUAUAUACAUUUAUACAUACAUACACAUAAAGUAUAUUCACUGAUAUGUUUACACCAUUUCAACUGCACUAAUAUUUCUGUACUCUGGAUCUUUCGAUAACUUCCUUCACUGUAGGUUUGGGAUAGCUGUAAUGUUGUUUUAUUGUUUUGUCCACAUACAGUCAUCCCUCAAAUGGUACGGUUUACAAUAGUUUGGUUUCGGUUUUAUACGGAUUGUCAUGGAAGAUCUUGUAAGGAUUUUUGAAUUUCCUGCUCGUUGGGAAAUUUAAAAAUCCUAAAAAAAUUAUGAAAAUCCACAUAAAACUGAAACCGAACAUUGGAAACUGUACUAUUUGAGGGACGACUGCAGUUCAUAAUAUCCUGUUUUCAUUGCAUCAAACUACUGGAUAUUCCAACUAGAGGAAUUUGGUAUAAUGAACCUCUAGUGUAGUAUCCACAUAAAAAAAAUUACUUUGGAAAAUUGUGCGUACAUGAAAAAAUUGUUCAGAAUGCUUGUCGGACUUAAUUUUGAUAAUAUUUAACUUGUGCUGCAGCCUAAUUAUAGAAAUGUUAUCCCUGCCGUGAGUACAAAUAGGUAUGGUGUGUACAGAUUGGUUAGCAUAUACCUUGUGUCACUUGUAAACAAACACACACACACACACACACACACACACACACACACACAUGCAUUUUUUUGUGUAAUGAAUGCACACACAUAUAUAUUUGCUGUAAUUUGUAUACGCACAUAUAUAUAUAUUUGUAAUUUGUCUGCGCACUCACACACAUACAUAUAUACACGCACAUACAUCCACAUAAACUCAGUAUAGAUCGUCAAAUGUUUGUUUAUCACGUCACUUUUUUUAUUCCUCCCCGUCUUUCACACUUUUAACUAAGGAUCGAGGAGGGCAGAGAACCACCAUUAGGAGAACACUUUUGUCAAGCCUUUCAAUUUAUCUUAUUAUUACUUGAUUUUUUACGUAUAUUUUACAACCAGUCGUGAGCAACAGAAACUCCCCUCUCAAAACUUCUGUUUCUAAAAUUGCGAAAAACUGUUAUUGAGAAUUCCACAAGAUUAUCCAGAAACAGGUCACAUUAUUAUCUGAUUUUUUACAUAUAUUUUACAACCAGUCAUGAGCAACCAAAAACAACAGAAACCGCCCCCCUCAAAACUUCUGCUUCUAAAAUUGAGGAAAAAGUGUUAUAGAGAAUUCCACAAGAUUAUCCAGAAACAGUUCGGGAGAGAUAUAUUUGCUGUCAUUCCUUUUCCUUAAUUCCACCUCCCAAGUAAACAAUAAGGGGAAAAAAAAAGCCCACAAAACUACUGCUUCCAAAAUUAACCCGUCCGCUACGAUUGGCAUGGAUUUGGCCUUCACUGGUAGCCUGGUAACAUACACUCCCAGGUCUUUCUUUGCCUCUGUGGUGGAUAGUGGAGUGUUUCCCAUGUGGUAUUGGUGCGCUGGAUAUCCCUUCACUGGUAGCCUGGUAACAUACACUCCCAGGUCUUUCUUUGCCUCUGUGGUGGGUAGUGGAGUGUUUCCCAUGUGGUAUUGGCAUGCUGGAUAUCCUCUCCCAAGGUGCAGGACUUUACAUUUUUCCUCACUGAAUUGUAGCAGCCACUUUUUGUUCCAUUCCUGUAGCUUGGUGAUGUCUUCUGGUAGGAAAUCCGCAGUGAAGGAGUUAAGGAAAAAAGUGAUAAAAGAUUCCAAAAGAUUAUUCAGAAACAGUUUGAGAGAGAUAAUUAUUUGCUGUCAUUCUUUUCAUAUAAUUUCACCCUCAAUUGUUCAUCCUAAUGGUGGUAAUCUACUCCUCCUCUUCUUUUAAAAUGUGCGUGCCUGAUUGUAUACCUUUCCUCUGUGAAUGAUAUAAAUGGGAAGCCUAUAUAUAUAUAUACCUAAUCUAAAUGUCUGUAUGCCUGUAUAUAUAUGUAAAAGGUAUGUUCGUAUGUCCCUGGUCUGUUCUUUCUAGUAGUUGACUGCAUUGAUGUCUAUAUUAAUUGUUACUAUACUCAUUUAUCUUCCAUGUGGUAAUUCCCUCUCUAUAUUUACUCUGGUGGUAGCGAUGUAACAAUUCCACUUAUAAUUAUUUCAUGGGGUACUUUUCUUCCUUUUAAUCAGUGGUGUAGUCGUAGAAGUAGUGUGUAUUUUCGUCCUCUUUCCCUGGGCAUUCGUUUCCCAUUUUCUCUCCCCGGGCACUCCUGUUUUCUGUUAACGGUGAGGUGGUAUACUGUCCUAUUUUUUUUAAUCAGGUAGGUAUACACUGAGCUCUGAUAUAUUGGCCCCAUCCUUCCCUGCUUCCUGUAUCUUGCUUUCUGGCUUAGUAGAAGAGGGCGUAGAUGGUGAGGGUGGGUGGGUGGGGUUGUGUAGAUAUGGGAGGAGGGAGGAAGUAAUGAAGGUAGGAAGGGAGGGAGGAAGAGAAGGAAGGAAGGAGAAAAAGAAAGGAGGGAAGGAAGUAGAAAUGAGGAAGGAGAGGAAAGAAGAAAGAAAGAAAGAGGGAAUAGGUAAGGAAUAAAAAAAGAAGAGAGGAAAGAAGAAAGGGAAGAAGUAGAAAGGGAAUUAGGGAGGAAAGUAAAAAGGAGUGAAAAAAAGAGAAAGGAAGAAAAAGAAGAAAGGAAGGAAAAAACAAGAGAAAAAGGGAAAAAAGAAGAAAAAGAAAGGAAGGAAAAAGAGAAAAGGAAGAAAAAGAAGGGAUUAAAGAAGAAAGGAAGGAAAAAACAAAGAGAGGCAGAAAUAAAGGUACAAAAAAAGAGAAAAUAAAAAAAGAAAGGAGAUGAAAUAUGAAAACCAGGAAAAAGGAAGAAAAAACAGACCCAAUUUUCAGAGUAGGAAGAAAAACAAGAUAAAUUAACAA
This is a long non-coding RNA of Eriocheir sinensis (Chinese mitten crab), 2863 nucleotides long. RefSeq lists it as uncharacterized. Lineage: Eukaryota; Metazoa; Arthropoda; Malacostraca; Decapoda; Varunidae. The transcript is spliced from 2 exons. The record is from RefSeq and is a predicted model, not a curated record.